GACGGAGGAUGCAAGCGUUAUCCGGAAUCACUGGGCGUAAAGAGUCCGUAGGUAGUCAAUCAAGUCUGCUGUUAAAGAGCGAGGCUUAACUUCGUAAAGGCAGUGGAAACUGAUAGACUAGAGUGUAGUAGGGGCAGAGGGAAUUCCUGGUGUAGCGGUGAAAUGCGUAGAGAUCAGGAAGAACACCGGUGGCGAAGGCGCUCUGCUGGGCUAUAACUGACACUGAGGGACGAAAGCUAGGGGAGCGAAUGGG
This 253-nucleotide ribosomal RNA is filed under the name uncultured bacterium. RNAcentral's name for it is "partial 16S ribosomal RNA". It matches the Rfam family "Bacterial small subunit ribosomal RNA", at positions 524 to 776 of the family's 1533-position model. The record is from RNAcentral.